ACGCAAGUGGAAACUUGUAUUGGCCUUCAUUCCUGCCGAGAUGUCAACCGAAAGAACACCUCAUGACCCGCACAUUAUUUUUCGCUAUUUACGGGACCAUGCCUAUCCAGCUCGUUGCAGUCUUUCGAGGAAGCGGUCCAUCCGCCGAGCAGCAAAGAACAAUUUUAAGCUUGAACGCGGUGAACUCAUGUAUCGGCGACUGAAAAAGAAGAUAAACGACGUCCCAGGCACUUACGAUGAUGCUGACCAAGAUGGGGAAUUACACGAAAGUCCUUGGCGCAAGGUCCUUAUGACGCCAAAACAGAUCGAUGACGCGCUUGCGAAUCUCCAUUCGUCGGCCUUAGGGAACCCAUUCUUCCUGAAGAUGUGGAUGAACCUGAGGGAAACGCCGAAGCAGACGAACCCCGACCAAGUGGGAGUGAACAACAUGCAGAGGUCAAUAAGAGAGUUACUAGAAUGCGAGAGUCUAUAGGGCAGAAAGUGCUUAAAAACAUCAAGAAGGCCCAGGGGCGACAAGAAACGCAUUACAACAAGAGGAGGAUCUCUCAAAACGAUAUCCCCGUUGGAACUAAGGUCCUGAAGAAAAAUUUGGUACGAUCGGAUCGAAAAGGGGGAAAAUCUGCGUUACCUUGGCUGGGCCCGUAUGUCAUAAGGAGCAAGACCAAGAGCGGGGGAUACUUGUUAACGAACGAGGAUGGUAUCCACUUGAAAUCCUCAAUAAACGGGGCGAACUUAAAGAUAUGGCAUGAGGGGCCGUCUGAGAAUGAAAAGAAAUAAACUACGUUCCAGUCUUCAUGUCACUGUCAACACAUUAUCAAUACCACAAUAUGUAUCAAUUCUGGUUAAAAACAGAGUGAUUUGAGAGCCCAAUUCAAGAGCAGGGUAUGAUACUAGUAUUUAUGUCAACCCUUGUGAAUACUUGCAUUAAAUACAGAAUCUGGUUAAACAGAAUGACUUGUUGAUUUCUUUAUGUACAUACAUGUACAGUACAAGGCGAAUGAAAUUGUAAAAGCCAUUGCCAUAGAAAAUCGGUAAGCUGCAACACCUCACUGCGAAUGAAAAUUAGGUGCAGGCACUUUGAGUAGAGUAAUGUAUCUUCCUUGAAAAUCUACUGUAGUUUUGCAUAGGACUUGGAAUACUAGUUUGUUCUAGUAAUGGAAGUCCACCUAGGACGGAGAUUACUAGA
Lineus longissimus is the source of this 1186-nucleotide RNA transcript. RefSeq lists it as uncharacterized. The transcript has 4 exons. The record is from RefSeq and is a predicted model, not a curated record. Lineage: Eukaryota; Metazoa; Nemertea; Pilidiophora; Heteronemertea; Lineidae.